GGAGUUAGCCGGUGCUUCUUCUGCGAGUAACGUCACAGAUGUAAGGUAUUAACUUACACCCUUUCCUCCUCGCUGAAAGUGCUUUACAACCCGAAGGCCUUCUUCACACACGCGGCAUGGCUGCAUCAGGGUUUCCCCCAUUGUGCAAUAUUCCCCACUGCUGCCUCCCGUAGGAGUCUGGGCCGUGUCUCAGUCCCAGUGUGGCUGAUCAUCCUCUCAGACCAGCUAGGGAUCGUCGCCUAGGUGAGCCUUUACCUCACCUACUAGCUAAUCCCACCUGGGCUUAUCCAUCAGCGCAAGGCCCGAAGGUCCCCUGCUUUCCCCCGUAGGGCGUAUGCGGUAUUAGCAGUCGUUUCCAACUGUUAUCCCCCACAAAUGGGCAAAUUCCCAGGCAUUACUCACCCGUCCGCCGCUCGUCAUCUUCAAAGCAAGCUUUUGAAAUGUUACCGCUCGACUUGCAUGUGUUAGGCCUGCCGCCAGCGUUCAAUCUGAGCCAGGAUCAAACUCUGA
Molecule: ribosomal RNA, 510 nt
Filed under: uncultured bacterium
Lineage: Bacteria
Description: partial 16S ribosomal RNA
Source: RNAcentral